RNAcentral lists this transfer RNA (151 nucleotides) under Candidatus Woesearchaeota archaeon. Its description in RNAcentral is "tRNA-Leu". It matches the Rfam family "tRNA". Rfam says of the family: Transfer RNA (tRNA) molecules are approximately 80 nucleotides in length. Their secondary structure includes four short double-helical elements and three loops (D, anti-codon, and T loops). Lineage: Archaea; Nanobdellati; Candidatus Woesearchaeota. The record is from RNAcentral.
GCGGAGGUAGCAAAGCCUGGUCAAAGAGAAUUAUAUAAAAGUUCUCGAUCAAAUGCGCAGGACUUAAGCACCCACGGUUGCGACACUCAACAAUCGUGUUGAGACAUCCUGUCCCUUAGUGGGUUCGAGGGUUCGAAUCCCUUCCUCCGCA